This 303-nucleotide ribosomal RNA is filed under the name uncultured Flavobacterium sp. RNAcentral's name for it is "bacterial SSU rRNA". It matches the Rfam family "Bacterial small subunit ribosomal RNA", at positions 28 to 334 of the family's 1533-position model. Lineage: Bacteria; Pseudomonadati; Bacteroidota; Flavobacteriia; Flavobacteriales; Flavobacteriaceae. The record is from RNAcentral.
GAUGAACGCUAGCGGCAGGCCUAACACAUGCAAGUCGAGGGGUAGUUAUCUUCGGAUAAUGAGACCGGCGCACGGGUGCGUAACGCGUAUGCAAUCUACCUUGUACAGAGAGAUAGCCCAGAGAAAUUUGGAUUAAUACCUCAUAGUAUAUUUUUAUCGCAUGAUUUAAAUAUUAAAGAUUUAUCGGUACAAGAUGAGCAUGCGUCCCAUUAGUUAGUUGGUAAGGUAACGGCUUACCAAGACAAUGAUGGGUAGGGGUCCUGAGAGGGAGAUCCCCCACACUGGUACUGAGACACGGACCAG